GUGCAACUGGCCAGAGACGCUGCAGGAGCAGGGCACGGUCGAACGUGGGGACGGGGUAGUCUCAGAUGUAGGAACAGAGGUUGGACUGGUUGUAGGAGCUGAGGUUGCGCUGCUUGUGUGCACAGAGGUUGAGCUCAUUGUAGGAACUGAGGUUGUGCUGCUUGUCUGCACAGGGGUUGCACUGGUUGUUGGAGCCGAGGUGGUGCUGCUUGUCUGCACAGAGGUUGAGCUCGUUGUAGGAGCUGAGGUUGUGCUGUUUGUCUGCACAGAGGUUGGACUGGUUGUAGGAGCUGAGGUUGCACCGCUUGUGUGCACAGGGGUUGCACUGGUUGUAGGAGUCGAGGUGGUGCUGCUUGUCUGCACAGAGAUUGUACUGGUUGUAGGAGCUGAGGUUGCACUGCUUGUGUGCACAGGGGUUGCACUGGUUGUAGGAGUCGAGGUGGUGCUGCUUGUCUGCACAGAGAUUGUACUGGUUGUAGGAGCUGAG
This is a long non-coding RNA of Bos taurus (domestic cattle), 487 nucleotides long. NCBI's taxonomy places the organism in Eukaryota, Metazoa, Chordata, Mammalia, Artiodactyla, Bovidae. The record is from Ensembl.